Molecule: ribosomal RNA, 1448 nt
Filed under: Salmonella enterica subsp. enterica serovar Give
Lineage: Bacteria; Pseudomonadati; Pseudomonadota; Gammaproteobacteria; Enterobacterales; Enterobacteriaceae
Description: partial 23S ribosomal RNA
Rfam family: Bacterial large subunit ribosomal RNA
Source: RNAcentral
UUUAAGCGUGUAGGCUGGUUUUCCAGGCAAAUCCGGAAAAUCAAGGCUGAGGCGUGACGACGAGGCACUACGGUGCUGAAGCAACAAAUGCCCUGCUUCCAGGAAAAGCCUCUAAGCAUCAGGUAACAUCAAAUCGUACCCCAAACCGACACAGGUGGUCAGGUAGAGAAUACCAAGGCGCUUGAGAGAACUCGGGUGAAGGAACUAGGCAAAAUGGUGCCGUAACUUCGGGAGAAGGCACGCUGACACGUAGGUGAAGUGAUUUACUCAUGGAGCUGAAGUCAGUCGAAGAUACCAGCUGGCUGCAACUGUUUAUUAAAAACACAGCACUGUGCAAACACGAAAGUGGACGUAUACGGUGUGACGCCUGCCCGGUGCCGGAAGGUUAAUUGAUGGGGUCAGCGCAAGCGAAGCUCCUGAUCGAAGCCCCGGUAAACGGCGGCCGUAACUAUAACGGUCCUAAGGUAGCGAAAUUCCUUGUCGGGUAAGUUCCGACCUGCACGAAUGGCGUAAUGAUGGCCAGGCUGUCUCCACCCGAGACUCAGUGAAAUUGAACUCGCUGUGAAGAUGCAGUGUACCCGCGGCAAGACGGAAAGACCCCGUGAACCUUUACUAUAGCUUGACACUGAACAUUGAGCCUUGAUGUGUAGGAUAGGUGGGAGGCUUUGAAGUGUGGACGCCAGUCUGCAUGGAGCCGACCUUGAAAUACCACCCUUUAAUGUUUGAUGUUCUAACGUGGACCCGUGAUCCGGGUUGCGGACAGUGUCUGGUGGGUAGUUUGACUGGGGCGGUCUCCUCCUAAAGAGUAACGGAGGAGCACGAAGGUUGGCUAAUCCUGGUCGGACAUCAGGAGGUUAGUGCAAUGGCAUAAGCCAGCUUGACUGCGAGCGUGACGGCGCGAGCAGGUGCGAAAGCAGGUCAUAGUGAUCCGGUGGUUCUGAAUGGAAGGGCCAUCGCUCAACGGAUAAAAGGUACUCCGGGGAUAACAGGCUGAUACCGCCCAAGAGUUCAUAUCGACGGCGGUGUUUGGCACCUCGAUGUCGGCUCAUCACAUCCUGGGGCUGAAGUAGGUCCCAAGGGUAUGGCUGUUCGCCAUUUAAAGUGGUACGCGAGCUGGGUUUAGAACGUCGUGAGACAGUUCGGUCCCUAUCUGCCGUGGGCGCUGGAGAACUGAGGGGGGCUGCUCCUAGUACGAGAGGACCGGAGUGGACGCAUCACUGGUGUUCGGGUUGUCAUGCCAAUGGCACUGCCCGGUAGCUAAAUGCGGAAGAGAUAAGUGCUGAAAGCAUCUAAGCACGAAACUUGCCCCGAGAUGAGUUCUCCCUGAGACUUAAAGUCUCCUGAAGGAACGUUGAAGACGACGACGUUGAUAGGCCGGGUGUGUAAGCGCAGCGAUGCGUUGAGCUAACCGGUACUAAUGAACCGUGAGGCUUAACCUUACAACGCCG